Molecule: non-coding RNA, 1749 nt
Organism: Oryza sativa Japonica Group (Japanese rice)
Lineage: Eukaryota; Viridiplantae; Streptophyta; Magnoliopsida; Poales; Poaceae
Source: RefSeq, a predicted model, not a curated record
UCCGCAUCCUCUCCCGCACCUCCCUCUCUCCCUCUCGCGCACUUCCCUUCCUCAUCUCUCGCGGAGAGUCCCUCCCGCACCUCCCGACCCCGAUCCCUCCACAAAUCACGCCUCCAUCGCCAUCCGCUCUCAUCGCCGAUCUAAGCCGUUGCCGACCGGAGCCGCUGCCUCGCCGCUCCUCUGCGCCUCCACCUAGGGGACCACACCGCCCCCUCCGCGCUGCAAUCGACCGGCACCGCCGAAGCCCACCCUCGACAUCUCCGGACAACGGGACAAGCUCCGUAAUCCCGCCGCCCUCCUCGCAAACUCCUCCGCCCUCCCCUCGCCCUCCUCGGCCGAUGGUUCGCCUCCUCGUGCAAACACUAACCCUAGCUCGCCUGGCGCCUCCUCGCGCAAACCCUAACCCUAGCUCGCAUGGCAUCUCCUUUCUUCCCGCGGAUGCAACGGGUGGCGAGCGGCCUUCGUGCAGGUCACGACCGGCGAGGUCGCUAUAGCGGGAUGGGCGCGACGGGCGGCGUGAUUGAUUCAUGCCCUAUAGCUUAUGGGGGAGGAGAAGGGAUCUUCAAGUACAUUGAAGGUCUACCUCUGUUACUUCCUUCUUUUCCUUUGCAUUUAGUUUCAUGGUUUCUUGCGUCAUAUUGAUUUAUGGUUUGUUCUAUUGGCUUCGUUUUGCAUGAGAACUUCUCCGGACGUCAGCUCUUUCAGUGGCCAUAGGUCAGCAACCGCAGAAGAAUUGAUGUCUACAGACACAAGGGAGCAAGAAAUUACAUGGCUGGCAAGGUCUUGUAGUAGCAGUGGAAGUGAUCCUAACAAGAAAAAAUCAGAGGUAAGAGGGGGAGGCAAAGCGUCUGUUCAAGUCAGAGACUUCACAUGGCACAUCAUCUCCCAAGUUUUAGUAACUAACAAUAUGGCAGAAUAGUGGAUUGACUUUGCAAACUGAGGAGUCAGCAUUUGAAAAACUUGUUUCGAAACCACACGCAGCAUCAAUCGCCCAAAGUGAACCUGGGGGAGAAGAUCAUGGCUUUGCAGCAGAUUAUGUCACCUUUCGGGAAGACAGAUACAGCGUCUGUCCUGUUGGAAACCAUAACCUACAUCAAAUUUCUUCAUGGUACAGAUGCCUUCAAUGUUUUUAUCUGGAUAGAUGCUGGUGCUGAGUCCACUGCUUUCCUUGAUGGUGGAUCAAUUGAGGAAGCUCCCUGCAUUUCUGCAAGACUGCCUUCUUGGGAGCGGUCAGGUAUCUGAUGAGUUUUAUCAUAUCCUACAAAGGUUGUGUUCAGGGAAAUGAAGGAAUUAAGCUUCGAGUUGACAAGCCCAUGGAAAAAGGAAGAUUAACACAUGGUCUGAGUAGGAUGUUAUGAUUGUUUUUUUUCCUUUCUGACAGGAGGAAUGGAUACAUCAGUCAAGAAAGGAGGAGUACGAACAAGAGAGCAAGGCAUGCAGAUAGGAAAACAUCAUUCGGCGAACUGACCAAACUGUGUGAGUAGUUAGAUGAUUUUUUAAGCAUGCAUAUGUAUUCUAGACAAGUUGUUAGGUCUAAUGGUGCUGAGCAUCUGUUAGGUUAGGUGACGGAGUGCUGAUGUAUUUGACAACUGUGGGCAAGUAAGUUGCUUUAAUUUUAAAUAUCGAGGUUUAUGCUGGUGCCAAUGUAUGAAAUACAGCAAAUAAGAUGUUUUACUAUUCCAAUAGUUGCGAUUGUACUAACUUCAAAAAGAUUAUAUGUAGAAAAACUGAAGCUUGCAUAUCGAUUUA